This 402-nucleotide ribosomal RNA is filed under the name uncultured bacterium. RNAcentral describes it as "bacterial SSU rRNA". It matches the Rfam family "Bacterial small subunit ribosomal RNA", at positions 355 to 774 of the family's 1533-position model. The record is from RNAcentral.
UGGGGAAUAUUGGACAAUGGGGGAAACCCUGAUCCAGCAAUGCCGCGUGAGUGAAGAAGGCCUUAGGGUUGUAAAGCUCUUUCGCCCGCGAAGAUAAUGACGGUAGCGGGAGAGGAAGCCCCGGCUAACUCCGUGCCAGCAGCCGCGGUAAUACGGAGGGGGCUAGCGUUGUUCGGAAUUACUGGGCGUAAAGCGUACGUAGGCGGAUGCGCAAGUUGGGGGUGAAAUCCCGGGGCUUAACCUCGGAAUUGCCCUCAAAACUGCACGUCUUGAGACCGAGAGAGGUAAGGGGAAUUCCUAGUAUAGAGGUGAAAUUCGUAGAUAUUAGGAAGAACACCAGUGGCGAAGGCGCCUUACUGGCUCGGUACUGACGCUGAGGUACGAAAGCGUGGGGAGCAAACA